AUACUUAUCUGGCAGGAGAGAUGCCAUGAUCACAAAGGUGGUUUUCCCAGGUCCAGGCUUACCCAUUGCACUCCAGAUGUGCUGGCCCCUGUGAUUUCUCCCAGUGUGGGAAACUCGACUGCAUAAUCUGUGGUAGUGGGGGACUGUGUUCACUCUCUCCCCUG
Molecule: small nuclear RNA, 164 nt
Organism: Phyllostomus discolor (pale spear-nosed bat)
Lineage: Eukaryota; Metazoa; Chordata; Mammalia; Chiroptera; Phyllostomidae
Product: U1 spliceosomal RNA
Exons: 1
Source: RefSeq, a predicted model, not a curated record